RNAcentral lists this ribosomal RNA (968 nucleotides) under Dipylidium caninum. RNAcentral's name for it is "16S ribosomal RNA". The stretch from base 647 to 926 matches the Rfam family "Archaeal large subunit ribosomal RNA", at positions 2151 to 2715 of the family's 2987-position model. Lineage: Eukaryota; Metazoa; Platyhelminthes; Cestoda; Cyclophyllidea; Dipylidiidae. The record is from RNAcentral.
UGAUCUAUAGGUUGUUAUUAUUGGUUUUGUUGGACUUUCUUGCCUUUUGCAUCAUGCUCGUUGGAUUUUUUUAAUUAAUUGUUUUAUAUUGAAAAGUUUUGAUCUCAUAUAUGUUUGUUUUGAACUUAGGUUUUUUUGUGUUAAAUUACUUAAAUUUUAUAUGUGGUGUGAUAAAUUAGUCGUAUAACUUUAUAUCCCUUUAACUGUAUUUGAUUUCUUUACACGCGUUAGGUUAUAAUAUCUUACGUGUUUUUACACUAUAUUUGUUAUGUAUUUUUGUUAUUAGGUUAGAGUUACCUUUUUUUUGUAAGUUUGUUGUAAGUUUUUUCAUUAUAUUUGUUGCAGUUUAUUUUGUUUACAGUUUUUAUCAAAUUUAGAUUUUAUUUAUCAUUGAAUAAGUAAUUCAAAUGUUUUAAUUAUUUCUCGGAGUUUGUCUGUCUGUUUAUUAAAAACAUUUCCAAUUUUAAGUUUAAUUGGUAGUGCCUGCUCUAUGUUUUGUGUAAAUGGCCGCAGUAUAUUGACUGUGCGAAGGUAGCAUAAUUAAUUGCCUUAUAAUUGAGGGCUUGUUUGAAUGGUUUGACAAGAUAAUUUGAAUAUUUAUUACUUUGUUGAAAUUAUUUUUGAUGGCACAGAAACCUCAUUUUUUAAUUAGACGGAAAGACCCCGGGAACUUGUUUAUUUUGCCUGGGGCAGGUUUUAAUUUUUUAUUAAAUUUAUGACCCUUUUUAGUUUAUUGAUUUAAGUUACCCCGGGGAUAACAGUGUAAUGAUUAAUGAGAGGUCUUAUCGAAUUAGUCGUUUGCCACCUCGAUGUUGACUUAGGUAUAUGAUUUGGGCGUAGUAGUUUAAAUUUUUGGUCUGUUCGACCAUGUAUAUCUCCAUGAGUUGAGUUAAGACCGGCGUGAGCCAGGUCGGUUCUUAUCUAUUGGUGUGAUCUAUUAGUACGAAAGGAUUGUAGAUCUUUUUUUU